AACGAACGCUGGCGGCAGGCCUAACACAUGCAAGUCGAACGCUGUAGCAAUACAGAGUGGCAGACGGGUGAGUAACGCGUGGGAACCUUCCCAAUGGUACGGAAUAGCUCAGGGAAACCUGAGGUCAUACCGUAUAAGCCCUUAGGGGGAAAGAUUUAUCGCCAUUGCAUGGGCCCGCGUCGGAUUAGCUAGUUGGUGAGGUAAUGGCUCACCAAGGCGACGAUCCGUAGCUGGUUUGAGAGAAUGACCAGCCACACUGGGACUGAGACACGGCCCAGACUCCUACGGGAGGCAGCAGUGGGGAAUCUUGGACAAUGGGCGAAAGCCUGAUCCAGCCAUGCCGCGUGAGUGACGAAGGCCUUAGGGUUGUAAAGCUCUUUUGCCGGGGACGAUAAUGACGGUACCCGGAGAAUAAGUCCCGGCUAACUUCGUGCCAGCCGCCGCCGUAA
Molecule: ribosomal RNA, 449 nt
Filed under: uncultured bacterium
Lineage: Bacteria
Description: partial 16S ribosomal RNA
Rfam family: Bacterial small subunit ribosomal RNA
Source: RNAcentral